This 484-nucleotide ribosomal RNA is filed under the name uncultured bacterium. Its description in RNAcentral is "partial 16S ribosomal RNA". It matches the Rfam family "Bacterial small subunit ribosomal RNA", at positions 30 to 507 of the family's 1533-position model. The record is from RNAcentral.
AUUGAACGCUGGCGGCAGGCCUAACACAUGCAAGUCGAGCGGAUGAAGGGAGCUUGCUCCUGGAUUCAGCGGCGGACGGGUGAGUAAUGCCUAGGAAUCUGCCUGGUAGUGGGGGAUAACGUCCGGAAACGGGCGCUAAUACCGCAUACGUCCUGAGGGAGAAAGUGGGGGAUCUUCGGACCUCACGCUAUCGGAUGAGCCUAGGUCGGAUUAGCUAGUUGGUGGGGUAAAGGCCUACCAAGGCGACGAUCCGUAACUGGUCUGAGAGGAUGAUCAGUCACACUGGAACUGAGACACGGUCCAGACUCCUACGGGAGGCAGCAGUGGGGAAUAUUGGACAAUGGGCGAAAGCCUGAUCCAGCCAUGCCGCGUGUGUGAAGAAGGUCUUCGGAUUGUAAAGCACUUUAAGUUGGGAGGAAGGGCUGUAAGUUAAUACCUUGCUGUUUUGACGUUACCAACAGAAUAAGCACCGGCUAACUUCGUG